This 443-nucleotide ribosomal RNA is filed under the name uncultured bacterium. RNAcentral describes it as "partial 16S ribosomal RNA". It matches the Rfam family "Bacterial small subunit ribosomal RNA", at positions 338 to 795 of the family's 1533-position model. The record is from RNAcentral.
CCUACGGGUGGCUGCAGUGGGGGAUAUUGGACAAUGGGGGGAACCCUGAUCCAGCGACGCCGCGUGAGUGAAGAAGUAUUUCGGUAUGUAAAGCUCUGUCAGCAGGGAAGAAAGAAAUGACGGUACCUGACCAAGAAGCCCCGGCUAACUACGUGCCAGCAGCCGCGGUAAUACGUAGGGGGCAAGCGUUAUCCGGAAUUACUGGGUGUAAAGGGAGCGUAGACGGCUAAUCAAGUCAGAAGUGAAAACCCAGGGCUCAACCUUGGGAGUGCUUUUGAAACUGAGUAGCUAGAGUGCAGGAGAGGUAAGCGGAAUUCCUAGUGUAGCGGUGAAAUGCGUAGAUAUUAGGAGGAACACCAGUGGCGAAGGCGGCUUACUGGACUGUAACUGACGUUGAGGCUCGAAAGCGUGGGGAGCAAACAGGAUUAGAUACCCUAGUAGUC